UGCUAUACAUGCAGUCGAGCGCGGGAAGCAAGAUGACCCCUUCGGGGUGAUUCUUGUGGAACGAGCGGCGGACGGGUGAGUAACACGUGGGCAACCUGCCUGUAAGACUGGGAUAACUCGCGGAAACGUGAGCUAAUACCGGAUAACACUUUUCUUUACCUAAGGAAAAGUUGAAAGGCGGCUUUUCGGAGCUGUCACUUACAGAUGGGCCCGCGGCGCAUUAGCUAGUUGGUAGGGUAAUGGCCUACCAAGGCGACGAUGCGUAGCCGACCUGAGAGGGUGAUCGGCCACACUGGGACUGAGACACGGCCCAGACUCCUACGGGAGGCAGCAGUAGGGAAUCUUCCGCAAUGGACGAAAGUCUGACGGAGCAACGCCGCGUGAACGAUGAAGGUUUUCGGAUCGUAAAGUUCUGUUGUUAGGGAAGAACAAGUACCGUUCAAAUAGGGCGGUACCUUGACGGUACCUAACGAGGAAGCCCCGGCUAACUACGUGCCAGCAGCCGCGGUAAUACGUAGGGGGCAAGCGUUGUCCGGAAUUAUUGGGCGUAAAGCGCGCGCAGGCGGUUUUUUAAGUCUGAUGUGAAAUCUUGUGGCUCAACCACAAGCGGUCAUUGGAAACUGGAGAACUUGAGUACAGAAGAGGAGAGUGGAAUUCCACGUGUAGCGGUGAAAUGCGUAGAUAUGUGGAGGAACACCAGUGGCGAAGGCGACUCUCUGGUCUGUAACUGACGCUGAGGCGCGAAAGCGUGGGGAGCGAACAGGAUUAGAUACCCUGGUAGUCCACGCCGUAAACGAUGAGUGCUAGGUGUUAGGGGGUUUCCGCCCCUUAGUGCUGCAGUUAACGCAUUAAGCACUCCGCCUGGGGAGUACGGCCGCAAGGCUGAACUCAAAAGAGUGACGGGACCCG
RNAcentral lists this ribosomal RNA (909 nucleotides) under Paraliobacillus quinghaiensis. Its description in RNAcentral is "bacterial SSU rRNA". It matches the Rfam family "Bacterial small subunit ribosomal RNA", at positions 45 to 923 of the family's 1533-position model. Lineage: Bacteria; Bacillati; Bacillota; Bacilli; Caryophanales; Bacillaceae. The record is from RNAcentral.